AACGAACGCUGGCGGCAUGCCUAACACAUGCAAGUCGAACGAGACCUUCGGGUCUAGUGGCGCACGGGUGCGUAACGCGUGGGAACCUGCCUUUAGGUUCGGAAUAACAGUGAGAAAUUACUGCUAAUACCGGAUGAUGUCUUCGGACCAAAGAUUUAUCGCCUUUAGAUGGGCCCGCGUUGGAUUAGCUAGUUGGUGGGUAAAGGCCUACCAAGGCGACGAUCCAUAGCUGGUCUGAGAGGAUGAUCAGCCACACUGGGACUGAGACACGGCCCAGACUCCUACGGGAGGCAGCAGUGGGAAUAUUGGACAAUGGGCGAAAGCCUGAUCCAGCAAUGCCGCGUGAGUGAUGAAGGCCUUAGGGUGUAAAGCUCUUUUACCCGAGAUGAUAAUGACAGUACCUGGAGAAUAAGCUCCGGCUAACUCCGUG
RNAcentral lists this ribosomal RNA (430 nucleotides) under uncultured bacterium. Its description in RNAcentral is "bacterial SSU rRNA". It matches the Rfam family "Bacterial small subunit ribosomal RNA", at positions 29 to 507 of the family's 1533-position model. The record is from RNAcentral.